This 1451-nucleotide small RNA is filed under the name Pongo abelii (Sumatran orangutan). RNAcentral describes it as "retained intron". Lineage: Eukaryota; Metazoa; Chordata; Mammalia; Primates; Hominidae. The record is from RNAcentral.
CAUUUGAUGACAACCUCCUAGGAGAGAUGGGGAGGGAAGUGGGAGAUGGCCUUAUAGCAGCUUCUGGCAGACCUCCCAUCCUCUUGUGUUCCAGGAGGAUUAAAGAAGCCUUUCGGCCACACUUCGGUAAGGUGUGGCUCAAGCCAUUGUCUCCUUGGAUAUGUUCAAGGCUCUCAGGGAACACUGGUAUUGGUAUACUGAAAGUUUGUGUUGAGAACCAGGGUUUUCACUAUGGCAAAAGGAAGAUACAAGUAAGGAAUGGAGGCAUUUGAAUAGGGAGGUGACAGUACAAAUUACUGAUUUAAGGCCAGGCAUAGUGGCUGAUGCCUGUAAUCCCAGUUCUUUGGGAGGCCAAGGCAGGAGAAUUGCUUGAGCCCAGGAGUUCGAGACUAGCAUGGGUGACAUGGCAAAACCCUGUUUCUACAAAAAACACAAAAAUUAGCCAGGCAUAGUGGUGCAGGCCUGUAGUCCCACCUACUCAGGAAGCUAAGGCAGGAGGAUCUCUUGAGGCUGGGAGGCAGAUGUUGCAGCGAGCUGAGAUUGUGCCACUGCACUCCAGCCUAGGCAACAGAGCGAGCCCGUCUCAAAAAAAAAGAAAAAGAAAUUUGGGAUGGUAUGCAAGAUUUGGCCUGGAUUCUUCUGAGGAUGUGAAGUAAUGGAAGCAGUAAGACUGUUCCAGACUAGGGGAAGACUAGAGCCCUAAUAGCUGGAUUCCAUGUGAUCUUUUGUUGGACUUUGGGAUUGAGGGUGAGAGUAGAGAAGGCAUAAUGCACAUUUUUGAGACGAGGGAAAUGUGAAUAUAGCCUGUAUGCCUGCACUCAAGUCUGAAGAUAUAUAAACCAUGCCUAUACUAACCAGCCAAAUAUUUGAACACUAAAAAGAAUACUUUUCUUAAUGUGGUGAUGGUAUCAUGGUUGUAUAGAAUGUUCCUCUUCUUGGGAGAUGUGUGCUGAAAAUAGGGUUUGAUGUCUAAACCUGUUUUUGUUUUGGCAAAAAGGACAUGUGUCUGUACAAAAGAAAUGAAGCCAGUAUGGCAAAAUGUUUACAAGGACUCUGGGUGAGAGGUACAUAGGUGCUUACUAUACUGUUUUGUUUCUGAAUUUGAAAUGUCUCAAAAUUAAAAAAGUAUCUACUGAGGAGCUUUUCAUUUUAACUGGUGGGGAAUGGGUUCUGGGCGGUUUUGCCCCUUUUCUUUUUAGAUUCAAGAAAUCCAUGGUGAAAGGUUUGGAUUCCUAUGAAGAAAAGGAGGAUGAAGUGAUCAAGGAGAUGGCAGCUCAGAUCCGUGAAGUGGAGCAGAGCCGACAGGAGGUGGUUCGGUCUGUCUUAGAGGUUGGUUUCCCUCGGAGGAUCCAGACCACCUCAGACAGUGCCAGACCCAGAAGAGGGCUCUUCAGCACAUGGAAGCUGGAAAGGGAUAAACAGCCAAGUAGCUUCCAGCUCACAGCAGCCCG